UCGGAGAGACCUUCACCUGCAAAGUGGAGCACUCAGCCCUGCCCUCGCCCCUCAUCAAAUCGAUCUCCAAGAAGCCAGGUAGGAGGAGAGCAGGGUCCCUAAGGGGAGAGACUCCCCUAUCCCAGCUCCCAGCAGGGAGGGAUGCUCCUUAAGGGGAAGCCCCAACCCCCAACAACCUGGAUCCCAACCCUGGGUCCCUUUGCGUCCCCACGUGAGAUGGAGACCAUCCUAUCCCCCAUCCUGCACUCCAGGACUACCAGCUCCCAGUCCCAGCCCCUCCAUCCUGGAGGAGAGAGGGGAUGUUCCUACCCCCGCACACCACACCAUCCUUCUCCCCGCGUGGCCCCUGCUGAGUGAUGUGCAUGGCUCCCCUGUGUCCUCCAUCCCCACCCACCCAAGGCAGGUGCUCUGGCCCAGGCAUCUACCUCCUGCACCCCCACAAUGAGGAGCUGAGCAGCUCCGAAGACUCCAUCAGCCUCACCUGCCUGGUGCGGGGCUUCUUCCCCGAGGACAUCUCGGUGCAGUGGAUGAAGAACCACAAACCCAGUGAGAGCUUGGAAUACAUCAGCACCCCGCCCAUGAAGGACGAAGCCAGCGACCCGAACUUCUUCCUCUACAGCAAGCUGAAAGUCAGCAAGGCCAGCUGGAACAGCGGGGACAUCUACACCUGCAUCGUCAUCCACGAAGCCCUCUCGAUGAAGUUCACCCAACGCAGUGUCAGCAAAGUCUCUGAGGUGAUCGUGUCAGGUGAGUUUUGCAGCGAGGACGGAGACGAGGAGCUGGACGGCCUCUGGUCCACCAUCUCGGUCUUCAUCACCCUCUUCCUCUUAAGCGUCUGCUACAGCGCCACCAUGACCCUGUUCAAGGUGAAGUGGCUUUUCUCUGCCAUGGUGCAGCUGAAGGAGGCGAGCGGCCCCGAGUACAAGAACGUGAUCCAGGGCGUGGUGUAGGGGCCACUGCCCCCGUCCGCCCAGAGACAAGGGGCCAGGACUCCCGGCUCCAUUGGCGACACCACCCUGAGUCCCACAGCUGCCCCUGCUAGCGCUGUGCCCCUGGGAGACCCCCCUGGGGGGAGACAGGACCUCACCCCACAUGGCAUCAUCAGCCCUCAGCCACUGGGGACGCUGCCCUGCUGGGAGCUUGGUUGAGACCAGACAACUCAUAUCAUGCAGGGAAAUAGUGCCCCUAGGGAGGAAACAACCCCUCUCCUACUUCCCACCCUCCUGAGCCCAACAGUCCCUGCUCUGGGACUGGAUCAGAGCCAGCGCGCCCUGGAGGGGAAAGGCCCCAUGUCUCCUUCCCCACCCCCUGCGCCAGCCAGCCCCCUGCCCUGGGGCAGGACCAUAGCCAGAGUGGUGUCUGUCAUGCUGUAUGUUGCAUAUUUAGCUCUUCAUUGGGAUUUUUGUGGGUGGUGUGUGUGUGUGACUUUUGUUGU
Malaclemys terrapin pileata is the source of this 1435-nucleotide non-coding RNA. The record is from the annotation of a RefSeq genome assembly. NCBI's taxonomy places the organism in Eukaryota, Metazoa, Chordata, Testudines, Emydidae.